GUGGUUCUGGKUUGAGGUCUCUGGGUCACCUCCCACCCGUGUUUAUUGUACCUUGUUGCUUCGGUGCGCCCGCCUCACGGCCGCCGGGGGGCUUCUGCCCCCGGGUCCGCGCGCACCGGAGACACUAUUGAACUCUGUCUGAAGAUUGCAGUCUGAGCAUAAACUAAAUAAGUUAAAACUUUCAACAACGGAUCUCUUGGUUCCGGCAUCGAUGAAGAACGCAGCGAAAUGCGAUAACUAAUGUGAAUUGCAGAAUUCAGUGAAUCAUCGAGUCUUUGAACGCACAUUGCGCCCCCUGGUAUUCCGGGGGGCAUGCCUGUCCGAGCGUCAUUGCUGCCCUCAAGCACGGCUUGUGUGUUGGGCUCCGUCCCCCCGGGGACGGGUCCGAAAGGCAGCGGCGGCACCGAGUCCGGUCCUCGAGCGUAUGGGGCUUUGUCACCCGCUCUGUAGGCCCGGCCGGCGCCAGCCGACAACCAAUCAUCCUUUUUUCAGGUUGACCUCGGAUCAGGUAGGGAUACCCGCUGAACUUAAGCAUAUCAAUAAGCGGAGGAA
RNAcentral lists this ribosomal RNA (552 nucleotides) under Penicillium thomii. RNAcentral's name for it is "eukaryotic LSU rRNA". Lineage: Eukaryota; Fungi; Ascomycota; Eurotiomycetes; Eurotiales; Aspergillaceae. The record is from RNAcentral.